AACGAACGCUGGCGGCAUGCCUAACACAUGCAAGUCGAACGAGACCUUCGGGUCUAGUGGCGCACGGGUGCGUAACGCGUGGGAACCUGCACUUAGGUUCGGAAUAACUCCCCGAAAGGGGUGCUAAUACCGGAUAAUGUCUUCGGACCAAAGAUUUAUCGCCCUUGGAUGGGCCCGCGUUGGAUUAGCUAGUUGGUAGGGUAAAAGCCUACCAAGGCGACGAUCCAUAGCUGGUCUGAGAGAAUGAUCAGCCACACUGGGACUGAGACACGGCCCAGACUCCUACGGGAGGCAGCAGUGGGGAAUAUUGGACAAUGGGGGAAAGCCUGAUCCAGCAAUGCCGCGUGAGUGAUGAAGGCCUUAGGGUUGUAAAGCUCUUUUACCCGGGAUGAUAAUGACAGUACCGGGAGAAUAAGCUCCGGCUAACUCCGUG
RNAcentral lists this ribosomal RNA (433 nucleotides) under uncultured bacterium. RNAcentral describes it as "partial 16S ribosomal RNA". It matches the Rfam family "Bacterial small subunit ribosomal RNA", at positions 29 to 507 of the family's 1533-position model. The record is from RNAcentral.